Long non-coding RNA from Polistes dominula (European paper wasp), 622 nucleotides. NCBI's taxonomy places the organism in Eukaryota, Metazoa, Arthropoda, Insecta, Hymenoptera, Vespidae. The record is from RefSeq and is a predicted model, not a curated record.
AUUGAGAAAAGUAUUCUAUUUCGAGUUUCUUAGAAUUUGAUGAUGAAAAUGGCGGGGAAGGCAGGGUGAGAUACGAGGUUUGUCGAACCGUGACGUAUAUAGCCGAAUGAGUGUGCGUAUCGCGUUGGAGUAAUGGGUAGCGAUCUGUGCUUUAGAAUCGGUUCAGUAUACCGCGCGUCGUUGUUCGGGGUGGUAAUUUUAUUUUUGUUUUUUCCGGUGAUAUUUUUUCAAGCGACAAUUAUUCGAUUUUUCUCGAGACAUGUGACAGGAUAGUGACAAAAGUGACAGAAGAAAAGGAGAUCGAUCAUAACCGUUUAAAUAUUAAGAUUAAGGUGACGUGUAUAAGAAAAGGGGAAUCAUAAUCGAUAAGAGAAUUCUUUGAUUUUGGAAAGCGGAAAAAAGCUUUAGAAAGGAAGUAAGCAAAACAUAAUUUAUAUUCGAUAUUGGUAUUGCAUUUCUAUGACACCAAGUGUAUUCGUAUGAACAAUGAAAAAUGUAGACAUAGAGAAAGGGAGUGACAGUAAGUUGGCAAUAAUAAGAAGAACAUUGAACGAAAUUUAAAUGAUAUCGCGAUAUCAAGGGGAAGAGGAAAAUAAAGCUAACAGAGGAUCUGUCAACGUAU